RNAcentral lists this ribosomal RNA (466 nucleotides) under uncultured bacterium. Its description in RNAcentral is "partial 16S ribosomal RNA". It matches the Rfam family "Bacterial small subunit ribosomal RNA", at positions 339 to 795 of the family's 1533-position model. The record is from RNAcentral.
CUACGGGUGGCAGCAGUGGGGAAUAUUGGACAAUGGGGGAAACCCUGAUCCAGCAAUACCGCGUGUGUGAAGAAGGCCUGCGGGUUGUAAAGCACUUUCGGUUGGGAGGACUGCUUCUAGCACUAAUAUUGUUGGAAGUUGACGUUACCUUCAGAAGAAGCACCGGCUAACUCCGUGCCAGCAGGCCGCGGUAAUACGGAGGGUGCAAGCGUUAAUCGGAAUUACUGGGCGUAAAGCGCGCGUAGGCGGCUAGAUCAGUCGGGUGUGAAAGCCCCGGGCUUAACCUGGGAACUGCAUCCGAUACUGUCUAGCUUGAGUACAGGAGAGGAGAGUGGAAUUCCACAUGUAGCGGUGAAAUGCGUAGAUAUGUGGAGGAACACCAAUGGCGAAGGCAGCUCUCUGGCCUGAUACUGACGCUGAGGUGCGAAAGCGUGGGGAGCAAACAGGAUUAGAUACCCUCGUAGUC